Molecule: ribosomal RNA, 230 nt
Filed under: uncultured Alicycliphilus sp.
Lineage: Bacteria; Pseudomonadati; Pseudomonadota; Betaproteobacteria; Burkholderiales; Comamonadaceae
Description: partial 16S ribosomal RNA
Rfam family: Bacterial small subunit ribosomal RNA
Source: RNAcentral
AGAGAUGCACUGGGUAUAAAGCGUGCGCAGGCGGUUUUGUAAGACAGAGGUGAAAUCCCCGGGCUCAACCUGGGAACUGCCUUUGUGACUGCAAGGCUGGAGUGCGGCAGAGGGGGAUGGAAUUCCGCGUGUAGCAGUGAAAUGCGUAGAUAUGCGGAGGAACACCGAUGGCGAAGGCAAUCCCCUGGGCCUGCACUGACGCUCAUGCACGAGAGCGUGGGGAGCAAACA